This 45-nucleotide non-coding RNA is filed under the name Schistosoma margrebowiei. The record is from RNAcentral. Lineage: Eukaryota; Metazoa; Platyhelminthes; Trematoda; Strigeidida; Schistosomatidae.
AUCUAGCUAAGAAGUCCCAAAUAGGACGAAACGUGCGUCCUGAAU